AUUGAACGCUGGCGGCAGGCCUAAUACAUGCAAGUCGAGCGGAUGAAGGGAGCUUGCUCCUGGAUUCAGCGGCGGACGGGUGAGUAAUGCCUAGGAAUCUGCCUGGUAGUGGGGGAUAACGUCCGGAAACGGGCGCUAAUACCGCAUACGUCCUGAGGGAGAAAGUGGGGGAUCUUCGGACCUCACGCUAUCAGAUGAGCCUAGGUCGGAUUAGCUAGUUGGUGGGGUAAAGGCCUACCAAGGCGACGAUCCGUAACUGGUCUGAGAGGAUGAUCAGUCACACUGGAACUGAGACACGGCCCAGACUCCUACGGGAGGCAGCAGUGGGGAAUAUUGGACAAUGGGCGAAAGCCUGAUCCAGCCAUGCCGCGUGUGUGAAGAAGGUCUUCGGAUUGUAAAGCACUUUAAGUUGGGAGGAAGGGCAGUAAGUUAAUACCUUGCUGUUUUGACGUUACCAACAGAAUAAGCACCGGCUAACUUCGUG
Molecule: ribosomal RNA, 484 nt
Filed under: uncultured bacterium
Lineage: Bacteria
Description: partial 16S ribosomal RNA
Rfam family: Bacterial small subunit ribosomal RNA
Source: RNAcentral